ACGGUUAAAAAUGUUCCAGCAAUGUGCUCCCUAAUCACUCUUCAGUCCUGUUGUCCAUUGUGGCUGAUUCCAUUUUCUACAUCCUUGUUCACUGGCUCUUCUGCUUCUUCAUCCGGUUUAUUUAGUUGUAUGCAGAUGUUGUAAAGAAUGCCACAAAGCAUUACUAUUUUGUUUACCUUUUUGGGUUUCAUCCGAAUCUACAAAAGAUAAAACUAAAUUACCAUGCAGGGCUACACAAGAGUGUGUCAUUGAAGAAAGAAUAAGAUGCAUGUAUAGUCGAUGGUUUUUUUU
RNAcentral lists this long non-coding RNA (291 nucleotides) under Mytilus galloprovincialis (Mediterranean mussel). The record is from RNAcentral. Lineage: Eukaryota; Metazoa; Mollusca; Bivalvia; Mytilida; Mytilidae.